GAUGAACGCUGGCGGCGUGCCUAAUACAUGCAAGUCGAGCGAACGGACGAGAAGCUUGCUUCUCUGAUGUUAGCGGCGGACGGGUGAGUAACACGUGGAUAACCUACCUAUAAGACUGGGAUAACUUCGGGAAACCGUAGCUAAUACCGGAUAAUAUUUUGAACCGCAUGGUUCAAAAGUGAAAGACGGUCUUGCUGUCACUUAUAGAUGGAUCCGCGCUGCAUUAGCUAGUUGGUAAGGUAACGGCUUACCAAGGCAACGAUGCAUAGCCGACCUGAGAGGGUGAUCGGCCACACUGGAACUGAGACACGGUCCAGACUCCUACGGGAGGCAGCAGUAGGGAAUCGUCCGCAGUGGGCGAAAGCCUGACGGAGCAACGCCGCGUGAGUGAUGAAGGUCUUCGGAUCGUAAAACUCUGUUAUUAGGGAAGAACAUAUGUGUAAGUAACUGUGCACAUCUUGACGGUAACUAAUCAGAAAGCCACGGCUAACUACGUG
Molecule: ribosomal RNA, 497 nt
Filed under: uncultured bacterium
Lineage: Bacteria
Description: partial 16S ribosomal RNA
Rfam family: Bacterial small subunit ribosomal RNA
Source: RNAcentral